AUAAAAACCCGCCAAACUCGUCGUGAGGCGAGGACGGAAAGCCACGGGUCUUGAUUCUAUUUCUCUCAAUAUGUCAGGGAGUUAUUAAGCAUUAAGAUAGCCGGGUUGCGAAC
RNAcentral lists this non-coding RNA (113 nucleotides) under Vibrio sp. RNAcentral's name for it is "c-di-GMP sequence". It matches the Rfam family "c-di-GMP-I riboswitch aptamer". Rfam says of the family: GEMM was predicted in a large-scale screen for bacterial structured RNA regulatory elements. Genes associated with GEMM are involved in a diverse array of functions, including chemotaxis regulation, signal transduction, secretion and chitin. The record is from RNAcentral. RNAcentral also lists the same sequence under 1 other name. Lineage: Bacteria; Pseudomonadati; Pseudomonadota; Gammaproteobacteria; Vibrionales; Vibrionaceae.